GAUAAACUUGAAAACAUGCAAGUCUCACAUUCUAUCCUUAUUUUUCAAUUAAUGUAUUUAUAUUUAUACCUUUAAUUCUUUUAUUGUUUUAUUUAUUCUUUCAUUAGUGCUAUAUUAGUCUUAAUUGGUGAGCAAUUAGUAGUGAAUGCUUAAUUGCUUAAUUACUUUAUCCGGGUUUUUAAGAGUUGUCAAUCUCUUAAGGGUUUUCAUAGCUUAAGGUUACAAUUGAUUGGGUUCAUAAAGGUAAUUAGGCUUCAUAUCCUAAUUGGUUCUUGUUUUCCAGUAGGUCUAGCUCUUAUUUUUAUAGCUUAAAGUUAUAAUUGAUUGAGCUAAUGGAGGUAAUUAGGCUUUGUAUCCUAAUUGGUUCUUGUUAUUCCAAUCAAUUAUAGGUCUACCUCUUAUUUCCGCGUGUUUCGCUAUAUCCAUAUUUUAGUUCGUAGUUCGUAUCAUAUUGUAUCGGAGGUUGAGGAUUGUUCUAUUAAUCCUUUGGUUUUUGUUUUGAUUAUCAUCUAAUCUAAAAAUAAAAAAUAAAAGAAAUUCAAAAAUUUCCAAAAUAGCAAGUUUACUGUUCAUCCGUUGUUUGUGACUGCAAUUAGAAAUGUAUUUCCUUGUUCGUUUCCAAAAUAGAAAUUCAAAAAUAUUUGCUCUAUCUCCUUCGAUUUGAUUCUGAACCUUCUGAAUUUCUUCAUUAUCUGAUUUGAAAUUACUGAAUUGAGCUUGGAUUCGAAGUUUGGGUUUGAGAUUGGUGAACCCGACGUGAAACGGACGAAUCGAAAAAUUGGGGUUGUGCUCUAGAUCCAAAAUUUCGAGUUCGAAAUCGAUUGGGCGUGUUCUAAUCUUGUUGGUAAAGCUCGAUUGAGGUUUAAUCUGAAGCUUGGGUUCGUUUGUGACUGAAUUCGAACUGGUGCUAGGUCAAAUCUGCGGAGUCGACUCGAAGAAGAAGAAGACCUAGGGUUCGUCGAUUUCGUGUGCCUUGGAACAAAUUGAAAACUAGGGUUUGCUCGGAUUACUGAGAGGAGUUUGUGGUUACCAUUUGAGUUCAAUUCGAAGAAGUUUAGGUUGAGUUUGGGUUGGCAACCUGAAGUUCAAUCGAAGAACUACCUGCAAAUCUUUGGGCGCCGUUCAAUUUUUUCUUCGAGUGUUGAUUGCUGAAAUCUAACUGUUACGUAGCCUAUGCACUCCUCGACGCAUCAGGUUUGGUUCUUUUGAGCUUAACAGCUUGUUUGGAGGGUUGUUACCUAUUGUAUUGUAUAGUAUUGUUACUUUAAAUACGAUGUUUGUUUUGAUUGUUACUUGAAUUUUAUUGUAUCGUAUCGUUAAAUCCGUGUUACGUAACGACGAAAUGUGCCACUAUAUAUAACGACCGAUUUGGUGUGGUCGCGUCGUUACCUUAUUUUUUUCUCUCAAUCUCACCCUUUAUUAUUAUUAAAUAAUUUUAUUUUAUCAUUUACCCUACCUUUUUAUAUACCAUAUCAUAAUUUUUUUAAUUAUAUUGCAAGUUUAUUAUUCAUAUCGCUGGUGUGUGAUAUCAUAAAACGACGGCAAACGACACAAUCUAUCCAAACAUUGUAUUCAUCAAACGAUACAGUACAAUACAAUAAAAUACGAUACGAUACAUUAUGAAACGAUAUGUAACAACCAUCCAAACAAGCUGUAAACUAGUUGUUUUCUGGAAGUUUUAAGGGAAAUUUUAGUCUGUUCUUCUAAAUUGAGAAUAGAAGUUCAUCAUUGAGUUCUGGAAUUUAAAGACAGCUUCUAAUUCUGCUGGAGUCCUAAGCCGUUACGUGUUACUGAUUGAGAAUUGAGUUUCAACUGAACAUCGACUAGAUCGUCUGAGUUAAUUGAAUUGAAUAAUUGAAGUCGACUUGCGUCGCUUAUUGCUUGAAUGAACUGAUUGGUUAAUUAGUAGCUACUGAAGGUUGAAAGCAUGUUUGGGUGAAUUCCUUUGAGACUUUGAGUUGAUCUUUCUGAGUGUGAAUUCAGAAGUCGACUCGAGGUUCUUGUUGGUUUGCACUGUUCCUCUUAUCUUGCAUCAGUUGGAUUGACAACUUGUGAGCCUUGUAAUGCUAUUCUCAUAGUUGUUGAGAGCUUGCAGUUUGGUUUUAUAUUUGUGUUUGCUUCUGAAGUUUGUGAUAAAAUUCUUUGAGGUUGGACUGUUUUAAGGUGCAUUUUUCUGUCACAAGUUCAGCUAAAGGUAUUUGACAGCAAAAUUCUGCACUGUUUUGAGCUAUCUUUGGAGAUGUGCUGCUGCUGAAGAGUGCGGAAUUGUCUCAAUGGUUUGGGCAUCAGUAUUUUGAUAGCCAGUUUCUGCCCAGAAUUUUAUCCAGAAAGUUGAACAGCAACUUCUUGCGAUUGCAGCAACAAACAGUUGAAAUUUAGGUUGUUUCUGAUCAGUUUUCUGCAGCAACUUUGGCAGCAAAUCUGCACAGUUGAGCUCUCAAGUUAGCUGUUGUUUGGUUAAGUGUUCUGCACAACUGAGCCACAAAAUUUCUGUGCUGUUUGUUCCUCUGUUAUUUGCUGAAAAUCUGCAGAAUUUUGGACUGUUGAACCUCAUAAGUUGCACCAUUUCUGCACAAGUGUUGCACCAGUUAGUUCCCAUGUAGUUGCAGUUUGGAACAACAUCCGAGGACUGAAAAUUUUGCACUGAAGUGUGAAAUUUCUGUUGCACUUUUGCACCAGCUGUGUACCUGUUCUUCUCAGUAUUUGGCACCAGCUGAGCAGCUGAAAUUUUGCAGCUUUGGCCAGCAUCUGAGCUGGGAAAUCAGUAGGUUUUUGGAACUGUUUCUUAAGCUAGAAAGGAGCUGAAUUGAAUUAGGUUCUGAGCCAGAUUGGAGCUGCUGAAAUCUACUUUGUUUAACAUCCAAACUGCAGUUCUUUUGAAUAAGUUUUGUCCAGUGAUUGCACAGCUAAUAUCCCGCACUUCUCGAGCAUAAAUUCUGCAUAGUUGAAGCUUUUCUACAGGCUGCAUAGUCCAAAAUUUCUGCAGAUAAUUUUUGCACAGUUCCCCUGCAAUUUUGGACUGUUUUCUGCAGAUUGUAAGUCUUCAUAGCUUGAGCAGAACCUUCAGAACUACUGCUCCUGAUCAGUUGUUUAGCAGCAAUUGAAUAGCAAAUCUGCACCAGCUUGUUCCAGUUUGAGAAUACUGCACUGCUUCUGCAUUUAUUUUCCACAACUGUUUGAACUGAUUCUGCCCAGUUUUACUGAAUCUGCACAUGCUUAAUGACUGCCAGUGGCACCAGAGGUUUUGCACCAGCUACUGCACAAUUUAAGGCCUGCACAGUUUGGGAAAUUUGCUGAGUUUGGGGUCUGGCCGUAGAACAAUUUUUCCAGCAUUUUGACAGAAGUUCAGAAAUUUUUCAGUCCAGUUUUCUUUUCUUCCAACUGUUAAUCUUUUUCUUCUUGUUUGUUAAUUCUAAACUAGUGUAAACUUGAUAUUAGUUCAUAUUAAGUUUUAACCUAGUUCUUUGUGUGCUUAAUUUAGUUUCGUGCCAAUUGUUUCGUGCUUUUAUCUUCUAAUUUCGUUGUGAAUUGCUUGGUUCAAGUCCGUUUGCUUUUAAUUGUCCGUCCUUGUGAAUACACAACUUCCACUCCACCCCGAAGACUGUUGGAACUUGUUGUGAAACCUUGGGAUUUAAGUUUGCAAGCAAUUUUGACAUUCACUACUUGACCGGAAAAAGGCAAGAGCGACUAGGACUUUGAGCACGCAAAAAGCCAAUUGGUGCAAAGUGUGAUACACGACGGUUGAGCAACAUCGAGUGAGCUUGGUGAGGACUUUACUACUAAUUUGUUUGCUCGUUUUGUAGGUAUCAUGGAGUACAAACAAACUUCUAGUCCUAAUUGUAAUCCAAGGAGU
Molecule: long non-coding RNA, 3853 nt
Filed under: Nicotiana tabacum (common tobacco)
Lineage: Eukaryota; Viridiplantae; Streptophyta; Magnoliopsida; Solanales; Solanaceae
Description: long non-coding RNA (NTAB_LNC007926)
Source: RNAcentral